UUCCAAUAAAUGUGACGGUUUCACUUCUUCUACACAUUUCAUUCCACACAUCUAUAAUACCUAAAUAAUUCAACUCCAUUACUCUAUUUCUCUUGACAUGCAGGAUGGCUUGCGUGCUCCCCGAGAAUGCUCCCAUCCCUGCUCCGCGCUCAUCCAACGGCCCCCGCUGCUGCCCUCCUUUUCCCUAAAAUACCCAGCAAUUAAACAAAACCGGCCGCUCCGUCUCUUAACCAAACCCAGGAAAAGACCAGCCGCUUGUUUCGUCUCCUCUCUUAUCCACUUACUUUCCCCACAGCCAAAGCAGUAGCUUCUCCACGGCCGGGAGACAUCUCGACGGCGAGCGCCGUGACCUCGAUUUGCUAGCAUGUCCGAGCAGGAGGGUCCUGGACAUCGCUGCAAGCUGGCUCAUCCGGCUGGUUGUCUUCCUCGGGGAGCGCGUCAUCUCCGUGGUCCUCCGCGCGCGGCGCUCGUCAGCAAACUGCUCACCAUCCCUGCGGCCAUGGCGUCCCUCGCCCAGUGCGGCGCUCGUAGGCGAGCUGCGCGCCGUCCCUGAGGCCGCAGCUUCCGUCGCCCGGCGAGGCGCUCGUGGGCGAGCUGCGGGCCCUCCCUCCUCGGCGGUCACCUUCGUGGCCCUGUUUCUGUGUGAUCUUAAGUAUUGCGGCAUGUUUCCAGUAGCAAGACUAUGGUUAUGGGCUUCUUUAAAUUCGUAUACAUUAUAAAUCCCGUUUGUAAGACUUAUCUUCAUACGUGCAUCACAACCACAUCGUGUCUUGGGCCUACUAUAACUGAAUUUCUCCUCUCUUUUAUCUUCAGCACGGACUCCUAUUAGUUAAAAUUAUUUUAUUAGUCCCAUCUAAAAAUCUAUAUGACCAGAACAAGUUACAACUACUCCAUACCUUGACGAGAACAUGUGAAUGUCCGUUGUUGUAUUGUACUGGAAUUUUUUACUUUAUGAUGAUUGCCUCUUCGGAUGCUAAAACCCAAGGAAUAAGCAUACUUGUUAUAGAAGGAAUAUGCUUCUUCAGAUAAAAACUGCAUGCCAAUCUUUGGCACUCUUUUUUCAAUCUGCUCUGUUGCAUUGCUAGCUGUAGUUUCUUCGACCCCCUGUUUAAAUUAGUGCUCACUUUAGCAAUUGGUUCAAAUACAAGGAAAAGGAGAAGCAACAUAUCUGUGUUGUAAAUCAGCAAUAACCUCGCUAUGACUAUUUAUUUCAAUGUCACAGUGGAACGGAAAUGAGUGGAAUCUGUGUUGUUUUCCCAUUCUGAACAAGGUUGUUAAUAAUUUCAAUCUUCUGAGUACGCAUUCUCAACUUAUCGGAGGAUUGGGAGAAGACAGUUGGGUCAGAGAAAAAGGAAGAACGCAAUGGAAACAAGAUGGCUUACAUUUGGGGGAUCUGAUUCCUCAUUGGUUCCGGCAGGAAUUGGUGAAGAAGCCAUCAAGUUCCUCCAGCAAGUCCCUUUGUUGGAUCUGUGUUUGUAGAUAGAUUUGAUGAAGAAGAGUAUAGUUUGGUUUGUUUUGUACUCUGUGUACGGGAAAAGUUCACCGCCAAUACUUUUGGUGGGCAAGACAUAUUUAUUUCCCUCCAAAUCUUUGUUCUAUUGCGUUAAUUACGUUGCCAGGAGAAAGUCCGAA
This is a long non-coding RNA of Aegilops tauschii subsp. strangulata, 1632 nucleotides long. RefSeq lists it as uncharacterized. Lineage: Eukaryota; Viridiplantae; Streptophyta; Magnoliopsida; Poales; Poaceae. The record is from RefSeq and is a predicted model, not a curated record.